UACAGAGGUCUCAAGCGUUGUUCGGAUUCAUUGGGCGUAAAGGGUGCGUAGGUGGCGCCGUAAGUCGGGUGUGAAAUUUCGGAGCUUAACUCCGAAACUGCAUUCGAUACUGCGGUGCUUGAGGACUGGAGAGGAGACUGGAAUUCAUGGUGUAGCAGUGAAAUGCGUAGAGAUCAUGAGGAAGACCAGUGGCGAAGGCGGGUCUCUGGACAGUUCCUGACACUGAGGCACGGAGGCCAGGGGAGCAAACGGG
Molecule: ribosomal RNA, 253 nt
Filed under: uncultured bacterium
Lineage: Bacteria
Description: partial 16S ribosomal RNA
Rfam family: Bacterial small subunit ribosomal RNA
Source: RNAcentral